This is an RNA transcript of Oncorhynchus keta (chum salmon), 2919 nucleotides long. RefSeq lists it as uncharacterized. The transcript is spliced from 21 exons. The record is from RefSeq and is a predicted model, not a curated record. NCBI's taxonomy places the organism in Eukaryota, Metazoa, Chordata, Actinopteri, Salmoniformes, Salmonidae.
AGCCCUUUGGGGUUCAGUUGACUGAGUGUGGGAAGCCUUUGUCAUAGGGUAAAAGUUGCAUACCCCUGGGCUGUAGGCUGCACACUUUGGGUCAAAUAUCAGGUUCUGUAGCUGUGUAUUUUAUCAGAACAAAUCUGUUCUACAAUGAUUCUUUUCCUUAGCUCAGGGUUGUUUUGCCUAUUGAUGGCAGCUGUGGGCAUACAAGCACAACGGACACCUUCUAUAAAUGACCUCAACGCUGAAUGCCUUGGUAACGUUAUUCGUUUGAGUGUCGCUCCUCUUUUUGAAGAGGUUGAUGCCGUCUUCAAUGACACACAAAUCAUAAACCUGACGCCUGGCCUUGCUACUCAGUGUGGAUUCAGCUUUAAAUUUGACCCCAUGGGGAAUGCCAUGUUUUUUGCUUCUCUUCAAAACUGCUUUUCCCAAAACAUGGAUGAUAAGAUGUUCAGCUUGGUCAUGCAGUUCAGGCUGCCAGGAAACCACAUGACUGAAGACCCUGUGUAUAGAGUGGGCAAAACCUGUAGCUACACCCCCCUGGACCUCCCGAGAGAUUCUGUGCGACCGCAACUACAUGGAGGUGUCUGUCAGAAGGACUCUUCCAGACAUCCAAACCAUCCCCGAACAGCCCACUGGGGGCCCGAAAGCAAGGAGCGGCAACUUCCGGAGAGGAGCUGAGGCUGUUGCUUCAGGAUACAAAAUGACAGCAGUCGUCUUUAGUCCUAGCAAGAAUGUCAUGAAUGUGGAUGAGGUCCAAAGAAAGGGCUAUGCAAUAGCCAACACUCCCACACGGCUGGUGUUAAGAAGCCCUCAUAAUGCAGAGGAGACAUACCUCCAGAAUGUAGCUGGGGUUCCGAUGCGGGUGCUCUCAACCUCAACCUUCUUUGAGCAGAAGUGGCUGGUUACUCGAGUAGAUGCCACGGCUGUUUGUCCAACACCAGGGGCAGUUGCCUUUACUCCAGAAGUGAUCACCUGGUACAUGCCCAAGCACAUAGACCCACUUUUCUCCUCUGAUGCCUUCACCAUGUUGGAGGUGUACAUGGGAAUUGACGCUAAGAGGCUGAACACUGAGGAAAUGGCUGCCAGAAACUACUCGGUUUUAGUCACAGAGGCUCACAUUAUUGUUGAAAUUCCGGUGGGGGCGGUUGGCGGCUAUUUCAAGAGCCAUAUUCAGGAUGACCAGUACUUUGUCACUUACACCAUUGAGCCCAUGCUUGAGUUGCUGUGGAUCGAGGAGAUCGCACACGAGGACACCAGCUAUAAAGUCCUCUUCCCUAUCACAACACCUCCGAUGGCCAGGCCUCCACAAGUUCGCAACUACACGCCCUUAGACACAGUUCCUGAGCUGGCAGUGUUUGUGCUUGAGUUGGGGACCUUCAACCUUGAUGUGGAGCUGCUGAACAUCACCUUUCCCACCAUGGUGCUAACUGUUGCAGAGUGCAACGCCAGGGGCUUCAAUGUUCAGGAGCAGAGAUCCCCGGACAACACCUUGAAGACCUUCAGGAUGGAGGUGCCCUUCUCAGACCCGGUGGUCUUCAAGGAGAGAAGGGCGGAACAAGGUGUCACAACCUUCACUCUUCAGCUGAUCUACGGCCUGGUCAUCUUUCCAGAGUACGCUCCUUUCUCUCACUCUGCCGUUGUGGACGCUGUACUGCUGGACAUUGUGCCACCCUCAGUCACUGGCAACUGUGAUCAGGAGAACUUCCACAUCACUGUGGACUACAGGAACCAAGAGCCCUUUUUUGUGGUCUUGGUUGGCAAGCGGCUGCUUAACCAUGAGUUUGCUCAACAGUAUUUAACAGAGGGCGACACAGACUUCACCAUCACGUUGCCCUUCUCUUCGCCGGACGCAGUGUUUGAGUCGGUUCACUCGUCCUCUGUCAGGAGCAGACUGGAUGUGGCUCUGUUGAAUCCUUACAACAACAUGACCAUCAAAUACUUUUCCCUGGCUUGCAGCUUCCUCAAAACGCUGACUGAGUGUUUCUCUAACGGAACGAUGACUGCGCUGGCGGUGAAGGUGGAUUCUGUUCCCGGUCUGAACCCCGGUCAGCUGACCCUGAGCGACCCCGCCUGUGGUCCCACCUACAGUGACGAUCGCUUUGCCUACUUCCACUUCACUGUGAACUCCUGUGGCACCAUCAGGAAGUUUAUCAACAAUGUCAUGCUGUAUGAGAACGAAAUCUCCUUGCCAGAUGAACUUGAGGUGAAGCUGAAUGCCACAACGUCUUCAGAGGAGGAAUAUCAGUUAAAGGUUUCCUGCUACUAUGUGGCCAACAUCACUCGCACAUUGGCCUUCCUGACCAGGCCGCGUGACAACGAGCCUUUUGCCGAGACUGGGACGGGUCGACUAAUGGUCAGAAUGAGACUCGCUCAGGACGCCACGUAUAACACGUUCCACCAGGAGGCGGACUAUCCAGUGGUGAGGUACCUGAGACAGCCUCUGCACUUUGAGGUUGAGCUGACCACGUCCUCUGAUCCCAAGGUAGCGCUGGUGCUUGACCACUGCUGGGCCACCCUCAACGAGGACCGUGACUCCCGACCCCGGUGGAAUCUCAUCAUUAAUGGCUGUGAGAACCCUGAGGAUCCAUACAGUGUAGUCUUCCACCCGGUAGUAGCUGAUGCCAGGGUCCACUUCCCCCCUCACGUCAAACGCUUUGAGGUCUAUAUGUUUUCCUUCGCCGAGGAUGCGGUUGAGCCGAGUGGCCAGGUCUUUGUCCAUUGUGAUGUGGUCAUCUGUGAUGCCAGUAGUCCCUCUGGCGGCCCCUGUAGUGGACAAUGUGUGAAUCAGGACAACCCGAAAAGAGGUCAACGACAUGUCAAAGACCUCUCUGAGGAGCGUCAUUUAUAUGUUUCUUCUGGAUACAUUCUUUGGGUGUAAUGUCUUGUUCUAACAUGUCAAAUAAAGUGUUCUAUAUAAAACAA